GCCUGAUUAGUGGCGAACGGGUGAGUAACACGUGAGUAACCUGCCCUCCGCUUCGGGAUAACCUCGGGAAAUCGUGGCUAAUACCGGAUAUGAGCACUCAUCGCAUGGUGGGUGUUGGAAAGAUUUAUCGGUGGGGGAUGGACUCGCGGCCUAUCAGUUUGUUGGUGAGGUGAUGGCUCACCAAGACGAUGACGGGUAGCCGGCCUGAGAGGGCGACCGGCCACACUGGGACUGAGACACGGCCCAGACUCCUACGGGAGGCAGCAGUGGGGAAUAUUGCACAAUGGGCGAAAGCCUGAUGCAGCGACGCCGCGUGGGGGAUGACGGCCUUCGGGUUGUAAACCCCUUUCAGUAGGGAAGAAGCGAGAGUGACGGUACCUGCAGAAGAAGCGCCGGCUAACUACGUGCCAGCAGCCGCGGUAAUACGUAGGGCGCAAGCGUUGUCCGGAAUUAUUGGGCGUAAAGAGCUUGUAGGUGGCUUGUCGCGUCUGCCGUGAAAACCCGAGGCUCAACCUCGGGCGUGCGGUGGGUACGGGCAGGCUAGAGUGUGGUAGGGGAGACUGGAACUCCUGGUGUAGCGGUGAAAUGCGCAGAUAUCAGGAAGAACACCGAUGGCGAAGGCAGGUCUCUGGGCCAUUACUGACACUGAGAAGCGAAAGCAUGGGUAGCGAACAGGAUUAGAUACCCUGGUAGUCCAUGCCGUAAACGUUGGGCACUAGGUGUGGGGGACAUUCCACGUUUUCCGCGCCGUAGCUA
RNAcentral lists this ribosomal RNA (756 nucleotides) under Brachybacterium paraconglomeratum. Its description in RNAcentral is "bacterial SSU rRNA". It matches the Rfam family "Bacterial small subunit ribosomal RNA", at positions 86 to 854 of the family's 1533-position model. Lineage: Bacteria; Bacillati; Actinomycetota; Actinomycetes; Micrococcales; Dermabacteraceae. The record is from RNAcentral.